AGGGAAUAUUGCGCAAUGGAGGAAACUCUGACGCAGCGACGCCGCGUGAACGAUGAAGGUCUUCGGAUCGUAAAGUUCUGUCCUUGGGGAAGAAGAUCUUCGGAUUUGACGGUACCCAAGAAGAAAGCCCCGGCUAACUACGUGCCAGCAGCCGCGGUAAUACGUAGGGGGCAAGCGUUGUCCGGAAUUAUUGGGCGUAAAGGGUGCGUAGGCGGCCAUUUAAGUCAGAUGUGAAAGCCCACGGCUUAACCGUGGGAUUGCAUUUGAAACUGGAUGGCUUGAGUAUCGGAGAGGGUAGUGGAAUUCCCAGUGUAGCGGUGAAAUGCGUAGAUAUUGGGAGGAACACCAGUGGCGAAGGCGACUACCUGGACGAAAACUGACGCUGAGGCGCGAAAGCCAGGGGAGCGAACG
RNAcentral lists this ribosomal RNA (411 nucleotides) under uncultured Bacillota bacterium. RNAcentral's name for it is "bacterial SSU rRNA". It matches the Rfam family "Bacterial small subunit ribosomal RNA", at positions 356 to 774 of the family's 1533-position model. The record is from RNAcentral. Lineage: Bacteria; Bacillati; Bacillota.